Molecule: ribosomal RNA, 545 nt
Filed under: uncultured bacterium
Lineage: Bacteria
Description: partial 16S ribosomal RNA
Rfam family: Bacterial small subunit ribosomal RNA
Source: RNAcentral
UGGGGAAUUUUGGACAAUGGGCGAAAGCCUGAUCCAGCAAUGCCGCGUGUGUGAAGAAGGCCUUCGGGUUGUAAAGCACUUUUGUCCGGAAAGAAAUCCUUGGCUCUAAUACAGUCGGGGGAUGACGGUACCGGAAGAAUAAGCACCGGCUAACUACGUGCCAGCAGCCGCGGUAAUACGUAGGGUGCAAGCGUUAAUCGGAAUUACUGGGCGUAAAGCGUGCGCAGGCGGUUUGCUAAGACCGAUGUGAAAUCCCCGGGCUCAACCUGGGAACUGCAUUGGUGACUGGCAGGCUAGAGUAUGGCAGAGGGGGGUAGAAUUCCACGUGUAGCAGUGAAAUGCGUAGAGAUGUGGAGGAAUACCGAUGGCGAAGGCAGCCCCCUGGGCAAUACUGACGCUCAUGCACGAAAGCGUGGGGAGCAAACAGGAUUAGAUACCCUGGUAGUCCACGCCCUAAACGAUGUCAACUAGUUGUUGGGGAUUCAUUUCCUUAGUAACGUAGCUAACGCGUGAAGUUGACCGCCUGGGGAGUACGUCGCAAGAUU